CCUACGGGUGGCAGCAGUGGGGAAUAUUUCACAAUGGGCGAAAGCCUGAUGGAGCAACGCCGCGUGCAGGAUGAAGGCCUUCGGGUUGUAAACUGCUUUUAUAAGCGAGAAAUAUGAUGGUAACUUAUGAAUAAGCCUCGGCUAACUACGUGCCAGCAGCCGCGGUCAUACGUAGGGUGCGAGCGUGAUCCGGAGUGACUGGGUGUAAAGAGGGGGGUAGGAGGCAUAAUAAGGAGAUAGGGGAAUCUGGUGGCGCAACCAGUCAGACUACUAGCUAAACUGUUAGGCUCGAGCCCGGUAGGGGUAACUGGAAUUUCUAGUGUAGCAGUGAAAUGCGUAGAUAUUAGGAGGAACACCGAUGGCGAAGGCAGCUUACUGGGACGGUACUGACACUGAGGCACGAAAGCGUAGGGAGCAAACGGGAUUAGAUACCCUGGUAGUC
This 442-nucleotide ribosomal RNA is filed under the name uncultured bacterium. RNAcentral describes it as "partial 16S ribosomal RNA". It matches the Rfam family "Bacterial small subunit ribosomal RNA", at positions 338 to 795 of the family's 1533-position model. The record is from RNAcentral.